GAUGAACGCUGGCGGCGUGCUUAACACAUGCAAGUCGAACGAAGCAUUUGCGACAGAUUUUUUCGGAAUGAAGUUGCUUAUGACUGAGUGGCGGACGGGUGAGUAACGCGUGGGUAACCUGCCUUGUACUGGGGGAUAGCAGCUGGAAACGGCUGGUAAUACCGCAUAAGCGCACAAUGUUGCAUGACAUGGUGUGAAAAACUCCGGUGGUAUAAGAUGGACCCGCGUCUGAUUAGCUAGUUGGUGAGAUAACAGCCCACCAAGGCGACGAUCAGUAGCCGACCUGAGAGGCUGACCGGCCACAUUGGGACUGAGACACGGCCCAGACUCCUACGGGAGGCAGCAGUGGGGAAUAUUGCACAAUGGAGGAAACUCUGAUGCAGCGACGCCGCGUGAGUGAAGAAGUAAUUCGUUAUGUAAAGCUCUAUCAGCAGGGAAGAUAGUGACGGUACCUGACUAAGAAGCUCCGGCUAAAUACGUG
RNAcentral lists this ribosomal RNA (481 nucleotides) under uncultured bacterium. Its description in RNAcentral is "partial 16S ribosomal RNA". It matches the Rfam family "Bacterial small subunit ribosomal RNA", at positions 28 to 507 of the family's 1533-position model. The record is from RNAcentral.